GCUUCUUCAUACUACAUUCAUGCAAAAUAUCCCCCUAAGCUGUUAUAACUGAGGGGGAUAUUUUGCGUGAAUGUAGAAUGAGU
Molecule: small RNA, 83 nt
Filed under: Mytilus galloprovincialis (Mediterranean mussel)
Lineage: Eukaryota; Metazoa; Mollusca; Bivalvia; Mytilida; Mytilidae
Source: RNAcentral